RNAcentral lists this ribosomal RNA (429 nucleotides) under Pseudomonadota bacterium. RNAcentral describes it as "Proteobacteria bacterium partial 16S ribosomal RNA". It matches the Rfam family "Bacterial small subunit ribosomal RNA", at positions 355 to 776 of the family's 1533-position model. The record is from RNAcentral. Lineage: Bacteria; Pseudomonadati; Pseudomonadota.
UGGGGAAUAUUGGACAAUGGGCGAAAGCCUGAUCCAGCCAUGCCGCGUGUGUGAAGAAGGUCUUCGGAUUGUAAAGCACUUUAAGUUGGGAGGAAGGGCAGUAAGCGAAUACCUUGCUGUUUUGACGUUACCGACAGAAUAAGCACCGGCUAACUCUGUGCCAGCAGCCGCGGUAAUACAGAGGGUGCAAGCGUUAAUCGGAAUUACUGGGCGUAAAGCGCGCGUAGGUGGUUCGUUAAGUUGAAUGGGAAAGCCCCGGGCUUAACCUGGGAACUGCAUCCAAAACUGGCGAGCUAGGGUAGGGCAGAGGGUGGUGGAAUUUCCUGUGUAGCGGUGAAAUGCGUAGAUAUAGGAAGGAACACCAGGGGCGAAGGCGACCACCUGGGCUCAGACUGACACUGAGGUGCGAAAGCGUGGGGAGCAAACAGG